RNAcentral lists this ribosomal RNA (497 nucleotides) under uncultured bacterium. Its description in RNAcentral is "partial 16S ribosomal RNA". It matches the Rfam family "Bacterial small subunit ribosomal RNA", at positions 28 to 507 of the family's 1533-position model. The record is from RNAcentral.
GACGAACGCUGGCGGCGUGCCUAAUACAUGCAAGUUGAGCGCUGAAGGUUGGUACUUGUACCAACUGGAUGAGCAGCGAACGGGUGAGUAACGCGUGGGGAAUCUGCCUUUGAGCGGGGGACAACAUUUGGAAACGAAUGCUAAUACCGCAUAAAAACUUUAAACACAAGUUUUAAGUUUGAAAGAUGCAAUUGCAUCACUCAAAGAUGAACCCGCGUUGUAUUAGCUAGUUGGUGAGGUAAAGGCCCACCAAGGGGAUGAUACAUAGCCGACCAGAGAGGGGGGUCCGCCCACUUGGGACUGGAGCCACGCCCAAAACCCCUCGGGAGGGAGCAGGAGGGAAUCUUCGGCAAUGGAGGAAAGUCUGACCGGGCAACGCCGCGGGAGUGAAGAAGGGUUUCGGAUCGUAAAACUCUGUUGGUAGAGAAGAACGUUGGUGAGAGUGGAAAGCUCAUCAAGUGACGGUAACUACCCAGAAAGGGACGGCUAACUACGUG